Molecule: ribosomal RNA, 276 nt
Filed under: uncultured Acidobacteriota bacterium
Lineage: Bacteria; Pseudomonadati; Acidobacteriota
Description: uncultured Acidobacteria bacterium partial 16S ribosomal RNA
Rfam family: Bacterial small subunit ribosomal RNA
Source: RNAcentral
CAGCUGUCGAGGUGCUGCAUGGCUGUCGUCAGCUCGUGUCGUGAGAUGUUGGGUAAAAAAACCGCAACGAGCGCAACCCUUGUCUUCUGUUGCCAUCGGGUUAUGCCGGGCACUCUGAAGAGACUGCCGGUGACAAACCGGAGGAAAGGUGGGGAUGACGUCAAGUCAGCAUGGCCUUUAUGUCUGGGGCCACACACGUGCUACAAUGGCCGGCACAAACCGUCGCGAUCUCGCAAGAGGGAGCUAAUCGGAGAAAACCGGUCUCAGUUCGGAUUG